Molecule: unclassified non-coding RNA, 312 nt
Filed under: fungal sp.
Lineage: Eukaryota; Fungi
Description: partial internal transcribed spacer region
Rfam family: Eukaryotic small subunit ribosomal RNA (bases 1-46)
Source: RNAcentral
AAGUCGUAACAAGGUUUCCGUAGGUGAACCUGCGGAAGGAUCAUUAUCGUGUUUUUUUCUUGCUUGUUCACGCAACAAGAAAACAAACGUAUUCACCCAAUCGUGAACUUGUUCUUUUUUUGGGAUGGGGGGGAAAGCGUCAGCUUUUCUUUUCCUGUUUCAAAAAUUAAUAUUUUUUUUACAACUUUAUUCACCACUUGUAUUCAAUGUGCUAAACUAAAAUCUUGGACGAAGAUCUUUUUUCGAAAAGAUUUUCUGAAAAGAAAGUACGAAAUUGCUGAACAACUCUUAGCAACGGAUAUCUUGGUUCUC